CCAAUACCGAAUCUACAAUUAAGCGAGAAUCCUUUUGAAGUUCCAUAGGAAGGGUAGACCUCAACACCCAGUAUCUAUGUAGAUUUGAUGAAUUGGCAUUCGAUGUGGCCGGUCUUCGAAGUUGAGAAACCGCCAUGUCUUUUUUCCGAUUCGAUUGUGUAACCGCGACGAGACGAAACCCAAAGCUUAGCUGCAACUGUCGAUCUGCUUCUUCAAAAACGGAUUGAAAAAGAUUUCGGGAUGUACCUUCAGGGAAUGCUUUUUGAACUAUGUCUUUUCGUGUAAUUGUGUUAUGAGAAGUUUGGGAGCAUAUUGCAUAACGGACCACAUUUCGUACCAAUAGUUGAAAAUUUAUUGCGUCUGUUUCAUUCCGUUCUUCAAAUUGACUUUGAAGCUCCAAGGGGUCACCUUUUCGUCUUUUUCUUCCUCUAGAGCUCCGGGACAUAGAUGGUCCAAAAUCAUCUUCGUUCCCCGAACCCUCUAAAUCCUCUUCAUAUUCAUCUAAGUCUGAUGCUUCUUCAUCUGCGAUAAUUUGCGAUGCCGUAGGUCGCACCUCUUGUGUAAGCCUACUACGGCCUUUUGAAGAUGACUUUCCAGUGAAACUGAGUUGGCUCAUUUCAUUUUGGCCCUCGUAAUUUCAGUACAAGACUAAACUUUCCGAUGCUAAAAUGAGAUUUCAGAACU
Non-coding RNA from Schizosaccharomyces pombe (fission yeast), 684 nucleotides. The record is from the annotation of a GenBank genome assembly. Lineage: Eukaryota; Fungi; Ascomycota; Schizosaccharomycetes; Schizosaccharomycetales; Schizosaccharomycetaceae.